This 28-nucleotide small RNA is filed under the name Bombyx mori (domestic silkworm). RNAcentral's name for it is "ovarian small RNA-8899". Lineage: Eukaryota; Metazoa; Arthropoda; Insecta; Lepidoptera; Bombycidae. The record is from RNAcentral.
UGUAAUUCCGAAGCCACGAGUCGCCAAA